Molecule: ribosomal RNA, 380 nt
Filed under: uncultured eukaryote
Lineage: Eukaryota
Description: partial 18S ribosomal RNA
Rfam family: Eukaryotic small subunit ribosomal RNA
Source: RNAcentral
CAAUAGCGUAUAUUAAAGUUGUUGCAGUUAAAAAGCUCGUAGUUGGAUUUCAGGGUUUCGUUGAUGGUCUGCCGCGAGGUAUGCACUGUCAGUGGAACUCGUCCUUCUGGAGACCUGCUCAUGGGCUUAGUUGUCUGUGAGUAAGGAUUCAGAUCGUUUACUUUGAAAAAAUUAGAGUGUUCAAAGCAGGCCAAUGCCUUGAAUACAUUAGCAUGGAAUAAUGGAAUAGGACUUUGGUUCUAUUUUGUUGGUUCUGAGAACCGAAGUAAUGAUUAAUAGGGAUAGUUGGGGGCAUUAGUAUUUCAGUGUCAGAGGUGAAAUUCUUGGAUUUCUGAAAGACUAACUACUGCGAAAGCAUUUGCCAAGGAUGUUUUCAUUAA